This 468-nucleotide ribosomal RNA is filed under the name uncultured bacterium. RNAcentral's name for it is "partial 16S ribosomal RNA". It matches the Rfam family "Bacterial small subunit ribosomal RNA", at positions 28 to 507 of the family's 1533-position model. The record is from RNAcentral.
GACGAACGCUGGCGGCGUGCUUAACACAUGCAAGUCGAACGGAAAGGCCCUGCUUUUGUGGGGUGCUCGAGUGGCGAACGGGUGAGUAACACGUGAGUAACCUGCCCUUGACUUUGGGAUAACUUCAGGAAACUGGGGCUAAUACCGGAUAGGAGCUCCUGCUGCAUGGUGGGGGUUGGAAAGUUUCGGUGGUGGGGGAUGGACUCGCGGCUUAUCAGCUUGUUGGGGGGGUAGUGGCUUACCAAGGCUUUGACGGGUAGCCGGCCUGGGAGGGUGACCGGCCACCUUGGGACUGAGGUACGGCCCAGAAUCCUACGGGCGGCAGCAGUGGGGAAUAUUGCACAAUGGGCGGAAGCCUGAUGCAGCAACGCCGCGUGCGGGAUGACGGCCUUCGGGUUGUAAACCGCUUUCGACUGUGACGAAGCGUGAGUGACGGUAAUGGGUAAAGAAGCAACGGCUAACUACGUG